This 1377-nucleotide long non-coding RNA is filed under the name Corvus moneduloides (New Caledonian crow). RNAcentral's name for it is "lncRNA (ENSCMUG00000018369.1)". Lineage: Eukaryota; Metazoa; Chordata; Aves; Passeriformes; Corvidae. The record is from RNAcentral.
GGGCGGCAGCGGCGGCCGCGGGGGCGCCCGGCGGCGGCAGGAGCGGCGGUCCCCGCGGGGCGCGGCGACAGGACGGGCAGCCUCCUCCAGCCUCCCUGCUCGCUCUCUCAUCACUUCUGUUUCUCCCAGCCACAGCCCUCACACUUUUCUUUCUCGAUCCCCCUCUUCCUGCCCCCCCCACUCCCACCUUCUCCUCCUCCUCCUCCUCGCCGCUCUCUCCCGAGCACUGAUUUGUUUCAAUAAAUCGAGCUCAAAUCCCCCGGUGGCAGCCGUCUCCGUCUCCUCCUCCUCCUUCCCCUCCCGCUCCCCUCUCCGCCUGGCUCAGCUUGAUGCUGCUCAAGUUGUGAUGCAGCCCAAAAAACCGAUCCCCUUCUCCUCAAUCCGAGGCAAAGGCGUGUUUUCCCAGCUGCCUUCGCCUCCGCUUGCAAGCCCCCCACUCAGCCCACCGGCGCCGCUAACCCCAUCACUGCCCCGACUCCAGCCGCCGCCUCCGCCCGGCUCCUGAAAUAGCCCCGCGGCUGCCGGGGCCGCUCCGACUCGGCGCUGCCCGCCCGUGCGCAGGAUCCGCCCCCUCUGUCAACCAGCCAGGCUGCUCUCCUCCCGCCCGGCAAACUACUUUCCUCGCACGCUUUAUUAUAGGAACGCCUCUGCCAGCCUCUUCCUAUCAGAAAGCCUCAUUUAGGGAGAAAUUUUGAUCUCCCAGCCAUGAGCUAUAUGGUGUUGCUCGUUUUGGUUGGGUUUCUUUUUUCCCCGAAGCUAAGACUUCAUGAAAACCCUCUCUCCAGGGACUGGCAGCAACAAAACAACAGCCACCGCAUUAUCUCUCUGCUCAAGGCAGAUACAGGUUCACCUAGAGGCAGAGCCGAGUAUCCGAGGAUAUCAGCAAGUUCCUGGCUCUGGCUGUACUACAAAAGACAGAUCCGUCCUUUUGGAACAGGGAGAUAUGAAACUGCAGCCCUUACAUUUGCAAAGCACCCGAAGAGUAAAUGUAAGGGAGGAGAGGCUCAGGCGUGGGAAAGAGGCACAGCCUUAAUGGAAAGAGCAGAGCAGCACCAGCCGGGAUGUUUCCGCUUCUUCUGCGGACCUUGGAGUAGCCUCGGUGGCUGCCUUAUCAGACGAAAGUGGUCUCCAGGAAUUGGGAGCAGCUCCACGGCAGCGCCCCGGGCAGCCGGCGUGGGCAGCGCGGGCCGGGAGAGCGGUGAUGGGCGGGAUGUCGGCGGGGCCGGGGGCGAGGGCGGCUCCAGCCCCGGGAGGAAGCCGGGGCUUGGAGCGACAGCGGAGGGGGAGGAGGUGGCCAGGGUCCCUCCCCGUCCCCGGAUGUCAUGUUAUAUCGCUGUGCAUCACCGACCACGAGCUCCUGCAGGCAAAGAGGACUAA